UACGUAGGGGGCGAGCGUUGUCCGGAAUUACUGGGUGUAAAGGGCGUGUAGGCGGGGGUGCAAGUUACCGGUAAAAACCCAGGGCUCAACUCUGGGCUUGCCGGUAAAACUGCAUCUCUUGAGUGUAGGAGAGGGAAGUGGAAUUCCCGGAGUAGCGGUGAAAUGCGUAGAUACCGGGAGGAACACCAGUGGCGAAGGCGGCUUCCUGGCCUACAACUGACGCUGAGGCGCGAAAGCUAGGGUAGCGAACGGGAUUAGAUACC
Molecule: ribosomal RNA, 263 nt
Filed under: uncultured bacterium
Lineage: Bacteria
Description: partial 16S ribosomal RNA
Rfam family: Bacterial small subunit ribosomal RNA
Source: RNAcentral